Long non-coding RNA from Vicia villosa (hairy vetch), 2137 nucleotides. RefSeq lists it as uncharacterized. The transcript has 5 exons. NCBI's taxonomy places the organism in Eukaryota, Viridiplantae, Streptophyta, Magnoliopsida, Fabales, Fabaceae. The record is from RefSeq and is a predicted model, not a curated record.
UGACGGGAUUCUUCUCCUCUCCCUCUCACGAUCGUGAAGCAGCAACAGCGCCGCGGAAAGCCUUUCUCCUCCAACGGAACCGACAUCACCACACAGCCACCGUGAAUUAUCACCUCUCAUCUCGACUCUCUUCUAUCUCUGGUCUCCACGCGUUCUCAAUCUCUCUCUCUUCUCAAAUCCCAUGUUCUCUCUCGGUUCUCUCAGAUCAAUCGAAAUCACGCCUUUACUGAUCAGAGAAGCUUUGACGGCUUCCUCCACGGCGGCGAGACAGAAGAUAAAAAACAAAGUUCACCACUCAGUUGUUGAUACGUGGAUGGAGUUGAUGCGGGUUGAAGGUUCCUUCUGAGUUUGUGAAGACUUGAAGGAUCGAUCGAAGAAGAUGAAGAGGGUAUGUCGUUUUCUUUUUCUUCUGCAAAUUGAUGAAUGGUGACUGAAGGUUAAAGAAAAACGGUUAUGGCGAAAGGUUGAAUGAAGAUUGGAUCGAGAGAGAUGGGGUAAAGGGAAGGAUUUCUGUUAGAGGUUGUUAUGAGGUGAAUUUGAGAGAAGGUGUGAAGUAUGAAGAAAAGUCAAGGUUGAAGAUGAGAGAGAGCAGAAGAAUCGAUGGAGGGAGAAUGAUUCGGUUACAGGUGAGUGUGUAUGAAGAUUUUUGUAUGUUUGAGAAAAGUUUUUGCAGAGAGUAUCAUCUGUUUUUCUUCUCUGCAGAGGUAGGGUUUAAAAGGAAGUUUUGGUGUAUGGUGUGUGUUGCAGAUGGGAUACUGAGAGGUAUUUAUUAGUAGAACAACUUUUUGAUGUGAUUUAUAAGCAUCUUGAUCAGGGUAGCAUGUCUAGCAUUUCAAUGCCAAGGUGAGUGUUUCUGUUUUUAUCCAUUUUAUAAUUUUAAUGAAGAAUCUUUUGGUAGUUUAAGAUGAUCCUAAUGAACAUUCUACUCAGGGGUGAUGGAAAUAAGAAUGUUAAAUCUGGAACUUUGAGUAGCUCACAAUGUGGCUUAGUGGAACUUGAAGCGGUUUUAUUUGUUUUGAGCAGGAUACCCACUUAAAUUUGGGCUUCUCUUUAUCUUUAGGCAAUCAUAGUUGAAUCAGUUGUGAUUAUGGUAUUCUUACAAUCCAAGAGUUCCUCUAACAAUUUUUUAUUUAGAUACUCAAACUCCAACUUCUUCACCAGUUGACUGUACCAAGCCAAACUUUAGCAUUGUGCCUAGUCGAAUCUCAGAUUUGUGCUGCAAAUUUUCCCCAUGGCUUUUAUUCGUACUCCUUUAUGCUUUAUUUGCUUCGGACAUUGCACAAGAAGCUGUGAAGAAGACAGAAAACUAGAUGGAUGUUUAAAAACUGACGAAAGCAGCACUGAGUCAUUCUACCUGUUCAUGAAGAAUGGAAAGCCACUGCUCUAUAUUCAAAAAGUCUAGAUACACAGGUAAUGCUCCAAAAGUUGAGAGAAGCGCAACAGGAAGAUUAGCAUGGUUGAACAAGUGUGUUAGGUCAUGGACAUUGUUUUAAAACCCUGAAUAAAUGUAGUUGCUUUUUAAGCUUUUUGUUUUGGUUUUAGAUUAGCAUGGUUGAUCUAGUGUUUUGGUCAUUUGUUUGCAGGAGAGCGUAGAGAAUGGAUCUGCUGGAAAAUUUGUUGAUUGCAUUCUAUCACUGAAAUGGUUUCAUGAGUCCAAGCAGAAGAACAACCAGAGUGGACCCAGCAAACGCCUGAAAUCUCCUUUAGUUAUGCAAUCAAUUAGUAGAAUGCAACGAAGAGCCACAACUGCAUUACCCUGUGAUGCAUGCAGGCGCUUGGGUUUGUCUGCAACAUCUGAAAAUAAGCCUCCUUCUGAGAGUAGUUUUCAAACACGAGAAGGACAAACCAACAUUAUUUAGAUCAUUUUACAAGUGGUUAAAACCUGGAGGUCAACUUCUAAUUACUGAUUACAACAAGGAGAUGAUCAAGACGAAUAUUAAGAAGUUGUGUUUUAUAUUAUCUAGCUAGUUAGUUCUUAGAACUUUUGUUGUUAUUUUGGGACGACUCUUUGAGAGAAACUUGCGUUUAAUUUAGCUCUUGUUUUGAAUCCCAUGGUUGUUUUGAAUUUGGGAUGACAUCAAAACUUAGUAUCCAACUUAUUAGUGGCACUACAAAAAAAACUUACUUUUGACGUUAA